ACGUAGGGGGCGAGCGUUGUCCGGAAUUACUGGGCGUAAAGGGUGCGUAGGCGGUUGCUUAAGUUGGAUGUGAAAUACCCGGGCUUAACUUGGGGGGUGCAUUCAAAACUGGGCAACUAGAGUUCAGGAGAGGGAAGCGGAAUUCCUAGUGUAGCGGUGAAAUGCGUAGAUAUUAGGAGGAACACCAGUGGCGAAGGCGGCUUUCUGGACUGACACUGACGCUGAGGCACGAAAGCGUGGGGAGCAAACAG
This 251-nucleotide ribosomal RNA is filed under the name uncultured prokaryote. RNAcentral describes it as "partial 16S rRNA". It matches the Rfam family "Bacterial small subunit ribosomal RNA", at positions 525 to 775 of the family's 1533-position model. The record is from RNAcentral.